This 825-nucleotide ribosomal RNA is filed under the name uncultured Glomus. RNAcentral's name for it is "bacterial SSU rRNA". It matches the Rfam family "Eukaryotic small subunit ribosomal RNA", at positions 292 to 1116 of the family's 1831-position model. Lineage: Eukaryota; Fungi; Glomeromycota; Glomeromycetes; Glomerales; Glomeraceae. The record is from RNAcentral.
ACACUGACGACAUGGUUCUACAAUCAACUUUCGAUGGUAGGAUAGAGGCCUACCAUGGUGGUAACGGGUAACGGGGUGUUAGGGCACGACACCGGAGAGGGAGCCUGAGAAACGGCUACCACAUCCAAGGAUGGCAGCAGGCGCGCAAAUUACCCAAUCCCGACACGGGGAGGUAGUGACAAUAAAUAACAAUACGGGGUUCUUUAGGAUCUCGUAAUUGGAAUGAGUACAAUUUAAAUCUCUUAACGAGGAACAAUUGGAGGGCAAGUCUGGUGCCAGCAGCCGCGGUAAUUCCAGCUCCAAUAGCGUAUAUUAAAGUUGCUGCAGUUAAAAAGCUCGUAGUUGAAUUUCGGGACCAAUAUGUCGGUCGUGCUUUUGUACGUACUGAUAUAAUUGGUUUCUCCCUUCUGAAGAACCUUGAUGUCAUUAAUUUGGUGUCUUGGGGAAUCAGGACUGUUACUUUGAAAAAAUUAGAGUGUUUAAAGCAGGCUCGCGCUUGAAUACAUUAGCAUGGAGUGAUGAAAUAGGACGUUUGAUUCUAUUUUGUUGGUUUCUAGGAUCGACGUAAUGAUUAAUAGGGAUAGUUGGGGCAUUAGUAUUCAAUUGUCAGAGGUGAAAUUCUUGGAUUUAUUGAAGACUAACUACUGCGAAAGCAUUUGCCAAGGAUGUUUUCAUUAAUCAGUGAACGAAAGUUAGGGGAUCGAAGACGAUCAGAUACCGUCGUGGUCUUAACCAUAAACUAUGCCGACUAGGAAUCGGGCGAUGUUGACAAAAUGACGCGCUCGGCACCUCAUGGGAAACCAAAGUGUUUGGGUUCAGACCAAG